This 465-nucleotide ribosomal RNA is filed under the name Vreelandella stevensii. RNAcentral describes it as "partial 16S ribosomal RNA". It matches the Rfam family "Bacterial small subunit ribosomal RNA", at positions 338 to 795 of the family's 1533-position model. The record is from RNAcentral. Lineage: Bacteria; Pseudomonadati; Pseudomonadota; Gammaproteobacteria; Oceanospirillales; Halomonadaceae.
CCUACGGGUGGCAGCAGUGGGGAAUAUUGGACAAUGGGGGCAACCCUGAUCCAGCCAUGCCGCGUGUGUGAAGAAGGCCCUCGGGUUGUAAAGCACUUUCAGUGAGGAAGAACGCCUGGUGGUUAAUACCCAUCAGGAAAGACAUCACUCACAGAAGAAGCACCGGCUAACUCCGUGCCAGCAGCCGCGGUAAUACGGAGGGGGCGAGCGUUAAUCGGAAUUACUGGGCGUAAAGCGCGCGUAGGUGGCUUGAUAAGCCGGUUGUGAAAGCCCCGGGCUCAACCUGGGAACGGCAUCCGGAACUGUCAAGCUAGAGUGCAGGAGAGGAAGGUAGAAUUCCCGGUGUAGCGGUGAAAUGCGUAGAGAUCGGGAGGAAUACCAGUGGCGAAGGCGGCCUUCUGGACUGACACUGACACUGAGGUGCGAAAGCGUGGGUAGCAAACAGGAUUAGAUACCCUGGUAGUC